Molecule: ribosomal RNA, 300 nt
Filed under: uncultured Caldicellulosiruptor sp.
Lineage: Bacteria; Bacillati; Bacillota; Caldicellulosiruptorales; Caldicellulosiruptoraceae
Description: bacterial SSU rRNA
Rfam family: Bacterial small subunit ribosomal RNA
Source: RNAcentral
GUGAACGCGGUGCCGGCAGGCGGGUAAAUACUGGGGGUGCGAGGGUGGUGCGGAAGGACUGGGGGUAAAGGGGGCGUAGGCGGCCGUAUAAUUAGGGGGUGAAAUCCUGCGGCUUAACCGCAGGGCUGCCGUCUAGACGGUCAGGCUUGAGCACGGUAGAGGCGGAUGGAAUUCCCGGUGUAGCGGUGGAAUGCGUAGAGAUCGGGAAGAACAUCAGUGGCGAAGGCGGUCCGCUGGGCCGUUGCUGACGCUGAGGCGCGACAGCGUGGGGAGCAAACAGGAUUAGAUACCCGUGUAGUC